This is a long non-coding RNA of Scatophagus argus, 1327 nucleotides long. RefSeq lists it as uncharacterized. The record is from RefSeq and is a predicted model, not a curated record. NCBI's taxonomy places the organism in Eukaryota, Metazoa, Chordata, Actinopteri, Scatophagidae. The transcript has 4 exons.
GAGUGUGCUGCAUUGUGAUGCCCACUAAUUUCUGUUCUCCCUUGAUGGAUGAACCUGCUGUUUCAUUGCUGCUGUUUUGCUCCAUGUGGUUUUGUUUGUACUUUUGAUUGGGUUCACUUGAGUUUUUAUUGUUUUGCUGAACCAAGUGGGUUGCUUUAUAAGGAUGCACAGUGUGGAUUUGUAAAUUUCUAUUAAGUUGAGUGUCAUAUUGGUGUGUGUGUGGCUGAGUGCUCAUGGUGAGGCCCUCACACAUAUUGCAUGUGACUAUGAGCUCUGAGACAUGGCUGUAAGCUGCAUGGGUUUUGCUUUCUGACUUUGGUGAACCCCUGGACUCUCCUCAGUGUAGUCUGCCUCUCCACAUGUGGCUUCGGUUCUGUUGCCUCUGGCUGUUUCUUGGACUGCUGUGUAUGUCUAUGUGAAAUCACACUGUAUGACGGUUAUGCUUUCCUCUCAGAAGUAUUUGUCUGGUUGGUCAGGCUGAGAUCUGAGCUUUAGACAUCACAUCCUAGGAUGUGUUCUUUUACCAAGUAAAAUGUGGUUUGUCUGAUUCAUAUUCUUGAUUUCCUCUCAUUCUGUUGUUCUGGCAGCUGCACUGUUUCUGAUAUUGAGUUCUGUGGCAGAACAUCACCUCGUCACUUUGACAAGCUAAGUAUUUACCUUUUUGUUCAAACAUGCUGAGCUGAUGUCAGUCUGGUGUUCAGUGUGUUUGUGCUCUUGAACCAGAAAGCUCUGAACACGGUGUCCACUGGAUGAUACGCUCUUCUGCUGCAGCAGCAUUGGUGUUGACGUGUUGUCACUUUGCUGCUGCUUACUGGGGGAACAACAACCAACAACAACGGCGCCGCUGGGAGAGGAUAGACUCCACCAUCAACCAGUAGUACCCCAUUCAGAUCCAGAUGCUACACCAGUCGGGGCGUCUCAUUCCAGCAAGAUGCUUCCACUAACGUAAAUCAGGUUUUAAAAGGUGAAGGAUGCCCUGGAGUGUGCGGUAGGUGAGAAGGUCCACCUCCUCCAGGUCAGGCCCUCCCAGUGGCAUAGAGCAGAGCUGUUUCCACACCCAAGGAGCCAGAUGCAAGUCCAGAGGUUUCUUGGUGCGGAUGGCCACCGCCAUGAGAAUGCCCAGGAAGCGAAACUGGACCAUGUGAUCCUCUGAGAAGGCUGCGGGGUUCAACAGGAACCUGUGACGGGGCCCCAGGCGUAGACGUCUCCGGUGGAAGACAGAGCGAGCACAUGUUCACAGCCCACAGCAAUGUCCUCUAUGAACAGCCCCUCCAGAGACGGCACCACCUGAGGGUUGGACUUAUUCUUCAGCAUGGAGUCCGGCAGG